Podarcis muralis (Common wall lizard) is the source of this 622-nucleotide non-coding RNA. Lineage: Eukaryota; Metazoa; Chordata; Lepidosauria; Squamata; Lacertidae. The record is from RefSeq and is a predicted model, not a curated record.
UUCCCUCAGUCACAAUAAUUUUCUUUUUCUUUUCAUCAUCUGUUUCCUACACAUGAAGAAGACUGAAAGCAAAGUGGCUCUGCAGUCAAGCCAAACGAUCAUUAUUCACAGAAGGCCCAGCCAGCAGCCAAUGGUCAGAGAUGAUGGAAGCUGCAGUUCAAGAACAUCGGAAAGGCCACACCCCUGCUGUCCAACUUGUGGUUCAACAGACAGAAGUGCGCCACCACCUAUGACCUGCUCGCUUGAGAAAUAAUCCCUGAGCUACAGCAGAGGGCUGCAGAGAGAAAUGGCAUUGGAAGCUCCCGUCUCCGCCUGCCCAUCUUUCCAUGAGUAGAUCUUUGGUCCAUCAGUAGAUCUAGCCCAAGUGCGUUUGACAGAAAAACUUCUAGUAUGAUAGAAAAUCCAUGGAGUGUCGGUAGCGCACACAGUGUACUACUACAGGAAAGUCAGAUAGAGCUCCGAAGCCCUUUCUACCAUCCAGCAUUUCCAGAAAUGUCAGGCAAUAUCACCAUGAUUUCUGCCUCAUGAAUGAACCACAGUUCCAGCAAAGCCAGGCCGACUGAUGUUCUGAGAUGCUGAUGCCCUCCAAAGAGGAGCAAUGUGUCAUUAAACCUGAAGCUGC